UUUUACAAAGCAAGACACUGAAAAUGUCUAGAUGGGCAUUAUUGCCCCAUCAACA
RNAcentral lists this transfer RNA (55 nucleotides) under Tursiops aduncus (Indo-pacific bottlenose dolphin). RNAcentral describes it as "tRNA-Phe". The record is from RNAcentral. Lineage: Eukaryota; Metazoa; Chordata; Mammalia; Artiodactyla; Delphinidae.